UGUGUUGUAUAGGAAAUCUCAAAGUGAAGAAAUUCAAUGAAACUCAGGUAAACCACGGGAGUAACUAUGACUCUCUUAAGGUAGCCAAAUGCCUAGUCGUCUAAUUAGUGACGCACAUGAAU
RNAcentral lists this non-coding RNA (122 nucleotides) under Sarcophilus harrisii (Tasmanian devil). Its description in RNAcentral is "Eukaryotic large subunit ribosomal RNA". It matches the Rfam family "Eukaryotic large subunit ribosomal RNA", at positions 2199 to 2320 of the family's 3401-position model. The record is from Rfam by way of RNAcentral. Lineage: Eukaryota; Metazoa; Chordata; Mammalia; Dasyuromorphia; Dasyuridae.